Molecule: ribosomal RNA, 439 nt
Filed under: uncultured bacterium
Lineage: Bacteria
Description: partial 16S ribosomal RNA
Rfam family: Bacterial small subunit ribosomal RNA
Source: RNAcentral
CUACGGGAUGCAGCAGUGAGGAAUAUUGCACAAUGGGGGGAACCCUGAUGCAGCAACGCCGCGUGGAGGAUGACGCAUUUCGGUGUGUAAACUCCUUUUAUAUAUCAAGAAAAUGACGGUAGCAUAUGAAUAAGCACCGGCUAACUCCGUGCCAGCAGCCGCGGUAAUACGGAGGGUGCAAGCGUUACUCGGAAUCACUGGGCGUAAAGGACGCGUAGGCGGGUUGGAAAGUCAGGUGUGAAAUCCUACAGCUUAACUGUAGAACUGCACUUGAAACUUCUAAUCUAGAGUAUGGGAGGGGGAGAUGGAAUUAGUGGUGUAGGGGUAAUAUCCGUAGAUAUCACUAGGAAUACCUAAAGCGAAGGCGAUCUCCUGGAACAUUACUGACGCUAAGGCGUGAAAGCGUGGGGAGCAAACAGGAUUAGAUACCCGCGUAGUC